Molecule: ribosomal RNA, 403 nt
Filed under: uncultured Eubacteriaceae bacterium
Lineage: Bacteria; Bacillati; Bacillota; Clostridia; Eubacteriales; Eubacteriaceae
Description: bacterial SSU rRNA
Rfam family: Bacterial small subunit ribosomal RNA
Source: RNAcentral
GGGGAAUAUUGCGCAAUGGGGGAAACCCUGACGCAGCAAUACCGCGUGAGUGAAGAAGGUUUUCGGAUCGUAAAGCUCUGUUAUUGGGGAAGAAAAAAAGACGGUACCCAAGAAGAAAGUCCCGGCUAACUACGUGCCAGCAGCCGCGGUAAUACGUAGGGAGCAAGCGUUAUCCGGAUUUACUGGGUGUAAAGGGCGCGUAGGCGGGAGUAUAAGUCAGAUGUGAAAUCUGGGGGCUCAACCCCCAAACUGCAUUUGAAACUGUAUUUCUUGAGUGAUGGAGAGGCAAGUGGAAUUCCUAGUGUAGCGGUGAAAUGCGUAGAUAUUAGGAGGAACACCAGUGGCGAAGGCGACUUGCUGGACAUUAACUGACGCUGAGGCGCGAAAGCGUGGGGAGCAAACA